Molecule: non-coding RNA, 71 nt
Organism: Caerostris darwini
Lineage: Eukaryota; Metazoa; Arthropoda; Arachnida; Araneae; Araneidae
Source: the annotation of a GenBank genome assembly
UCCUAAGUUAAGCAUCAUUGGGUGCGGUCAGUACUUGGGUGGGUGACCACCUGGGAACACCGCGUGCCGUU